Long non-coding RNA from Melanotaenia boesemani (Boeseman's rainbowfish), 1186 nucleotides. RefSeq lists it as uncharacterized. The record is from RefSeq and is a predicted model, not a curated record. The transcript has 2 exons. NCBI's taxonomy places the organism in Eukaryota, Metazoa, Chordata, Actinopteri, Atheriniformes, Melanotaeniidae.
UUCCUGAGCACUCUGACUUAGACGCUUUUUUUUUUUAUCUGACUGCAGACGCAAGUUAACAAGUGAAACUAUAACAAAUCAGUGUCGUCAGUCAAACUCAGCCAAGAAUAAAUUUUCUCUGGAAAAGUCAAGUUUUAUAAUGAUCACCACCAAAUCAUGCGUCACUGUUUGACCUUAAAAUCAUUGUACUUUAAGUCAAGAUGACUAUUAAAUCUACAGACUAGGAGUCAUAGAGUUUCCAUUAUGGCUGCAUUCUCAUUGAGGAACCCUACAUGGCACAUUUUGGGGAUUGCUUUGUUUCUCCUACUGGUCUUCCUUCAGAUGAUAACCUCCUUUGUGUACUACGGUGAUGUGUUCAUACAAUCCAAUGAAGUAUCCAUCAGAUUCGGUCAACAUGAGGAAAGAUUCUACAAUGAUUGGCUCCGGAGCUUUUCCACUAGACUGUCCUUCAUGAUAAUUAUUAACAUACUCUGUAAGCUGGUUGUUCUGUGUCUUUAUGUUCCAGUGGUGCUCUUGCUCUUUGCUCUUCUGGCCAUGCUGUUGGCAGCUUAUGCCAAAGACAAAACAACACUCAGGUUCAGCAUGGCUUGUCAGGCUGCAUCCAGCUCGCUCAUCCUGAACGGAUUAAUUUUAUUCCUCCUCAGCCUACAUUCGUCAUAUUUGAAUUGGAAAGACAUGACGCUCUGCUUCUACAUAUAUGUAGGUGUGUCAGUACAGUUGGUGAUCACAGCUCUGCUAACCGCCAUUGUGUCUAAGAAGAAUCCCCCACCUGACUGGGAAUAAACUGGUUCAGACUGUACUUGCUUUAAUGUGGAAGAGACAAUUAUGUUCUCUGUCUUCUUGCUGAUGAAAACCAUGACAAAUUGUAAUUGAGUUUGCUCUUUUUGUUAGAUCAACAAGUUGUAUUGCUGUUACAACGAUGUGUUUGAUUUGUAAAAGAACUUUUCCAUGAGAAGUGAAACCAUGUUUAUGGAUAAAUGCCUAAAAGACUUACAGCCUUUGCUAAGUUCUGCUAUUUGAAAAUGAAUUCAUAUUCUGUGUUGAAACCUACAUUAUAUUAAAAAUGUUUAAAUGCGUUGUCGGAACUGUAACUUUAUUUAGAUGGAAGAAAUGACUGGGAACUUUGAAUGGACAUUUACUCAAAACCUUUGAUCAGGUUGUACCAUAUUAAAGAUUUCACUUCACA